ACGCACGCUGGCGGCAGGCCUAACACCUGCCAGUCGCGCGCGCCCUUCGGGGUGAGCGGCGGACGGGUGAGUAACGCGUGGGAACGUGCCCUUUUCUACGGAAUAGCCUCGGGAAACUGAGAGUAAUACCGUAUACGCCCUUUGGGGGAAAGAUUUAUCGGAAAAGGAUCGGCCCGCGUUGGAUUAGGUAGUUGGUGGGGUAAUGGCCUACCAAGCCGACGAUCCAUAGCUGGUUUGAGAGGAUGAUCAGCCACACUGGGACUGAGACACGGCCCAGACUCCUACGGGAGGCAGCAGUGGGGAAUCUUAGACAAUGGGGGCAACCCUGAUCUAGUCAUGCCGCGUGAGUGAUGAAGGCCUUAGGGUUGUAAAGCUCUUUCAGCUGGGAAGAUAAUGACGGUACCAGCAGAAGAAGCCCCGGCUAACUCCGUG
RNAcentral lists this ribosomal RNA (432 nucleotides) under uncultured bacterium. Its description in RNAcentral is "partial 16S ribosomal RNA". It matches the Rfam family "Bacterial small subunit ribosomal RNA", at positions 29 to 507 of the family's 1533-position model. The record is from RNAcentral.